Molecule: long non-coding RNA, 924 nt
Organism: Ruditapes philippinarum (Manila clam)
Lineage: Eukaryota; Metazoa; Mollusca; Bivalvia; Venerida; Veneridae
Exons: 5
Source: RefSeq, a predicted model, not a curated record
CAACUUUAAUGGCCUGUUGACAUUUUUAAUGAGUGUCAUUUGAACACAUGUAGGAUUUGAUGGGUGAUUAGGAGUGGAUUAAAGAUAUCAGUUUCUGAUGCUUGCUCUGAAAGUUUUGACCAACCUGAGGUAGUACCUUGUAUUUUAAACGAGGUUUAUGACUGUAGCAAUAAUUAUUAAAGUGCUUCCAUAUUGACAUGUAACAUGUCGGAAUUGAUCAAUUAUUUUUUAUUUUCUUCAGGCUAAACAAGUCAAAGUUGAGGACGCAAAAAUAAAGAGAUUGCAGCUGAAGGAAAGGGAUGAAGUAAAUGAGAGUGUUGGCAAUCAUAUUAUCAAAAAAGCCAAGAAAGAAACUGAUACGGAGAGCCAGCAAAACAUUUUCCUUGACCAACUGUGCAGAAUAGAGAACAAGGUGGAUACUCUGAACAAUGCUGUGGAAACUCUACUUGGGUGCAGAUCCUGCCUUCGAAAGAUAUACAAGAAGUUGGAUGGUAACAAGUUCCAAUCAGUCCAAGACCGACAGGGAAAACACCUAGCAGUAGCAUGAAAGUGGUAACUACAUCAACAGAGUCAUUAAAUGAGAACGAGUUGUCAGUAGUUAGUGCCAGCAAAAUCACAGGAGGAAAAUGCAGACUGUGAUGACCUGCAGCAUUCAAACAGUUUACCCCUGCCGAUUGAAGAAGACGAACUGGCCCAUGUUGGGGAUGUAAAGUACGGCAUAAGAAUCCCAAAAGAUGCUCUGAUGAGGUGUGAGAAAAGUGCCAAAUCAGCCGAAAAAUUGGCAUUAAAUCUCAUAGAAUUUCUUCUAAGUCCAGAGGAGCUUCAAACAGUAACUGUUUAUGGAAAUUUACAGCAUAAAAAAGUUCCAAUGGACGAAAACAAAAGAAGGGCCUUGAGAAGUAAGAUUUGCCUCUAUCAUAAUGU